CGUGUUUAACACCAACACCUCUCCGACGACGACGACCCGGACGCCCCGUCCCCGUGAAGCAGCCAGCGGCGGGGAGGUGGACAAGGCGCUGGACUACAUGUACCGCGCAAACAGGAUGGCGAGCCUCGCCGUGAAGGUGAAGCACAUCGACGUGGGCGUCUCCGUCCUCUCCCGCUUCAUGGAGCCCAAGAAGGAAGCUGGCCAGCCUCGCCGAGUUCUGCGCCGACUACGCCUACAUCUCCGAGGUCCGUCCUCCAAACUCUUUUCUUCUUGCUCCGAUCCUAGUCCUGGAUGAAAAUGAUGAAUGAAUCCAUGGAUGGAUGGAUCUGACGGUGGAUUUGUUGGCUUGCUGCAGGAGGGAUUCUAUCUGGCAUCCGAUUGAUCGAUGGACGCUGUGCUGAUCCAAGCCAUGCCCAUGCAUGAUCUCCUUAUCAUCAGUCUUUUAAUCUACCAUCCAUCCCAUCCAGGCCUGUGGUUUCGUCAGGAUUUAUGUGCUGCCUGCAAUGCUCUUGUAUUCGUAUUCAGUUUGGUCAGACUUUGGUUCCUGGACGGCCAGCAUGCCUAUCUAAUCUGUCUCAGCUUCAUCAGUUAGCUAGGGGAAACCAAUGUAGUAUUGUAAUGUUGAUCUUCAUCUUAUCUUAUCUUUGGGACUUCACUUGAUCGAAUCGAAUUGCAGGAGCUAUCUCAAAAUUCUUAAUUGGAUUCAUGUAUGGUACUAGUUCAAUAUCGUAUUUCUGG
Molecule: long non-coding RNA, 738 nt
Filed under: Hordeum vulgare
Lineage: Eukaryota; Viridiplantae; Streptophyta; Magnoliopsida; Poales; Poaceae
Description: long non-coding RNA (HVUL_LNC006132)
Source: RNAcentral